UUAUUUCGCGAGAUUGGUCCGUUUGCUUGAAACGUAACGUCUCAUCCUGUCAGUAGUGUUUUGACAGCCGAAGUGUGAACUUGCGCAUUUGUGACGGAGAGGCACUACGGUUUUAUAAUGUCUAAACGAGCUUUGCUACUCUGUAAUCUU
This is a long non-coding RNA of Melitaea cinxia (Glanville fritillary), 150 nucleotides long. RefSeq lists it as uncharacterized. The record is from RefSeq and is a predicted model, not a curated record. The transcript is spliced from 2 exons. Lineage: Eukaryota; Metazoa; Arthropoda; Insecta; Lepidoptera; Nymphalidae.